RNAcentral lists this long non-coding RNA (1027 nucleotides) under Parus major (Great Tit). RNAcentral describes it as "lncRNA (ENSPMJG00000002509.1)". The record is from RNAcentral. Lineage: Eukaryota; Metazoa; Chordata; Aves; Passeriformes; Paridae.
UCCCGCCUUUUUUUUUUCCUCCCUCACAAAAGGUUUUCCCACCUUUUUUUCCCGCCUUUUUUUCCCCCUUCAGGAAUUUUUUCCCGCCUUUUUUUCCCCCCUCAUAAAAAGUUUUCCUGCCCUUUUUUUCCCUUCUUUUUUCUCCCCUCAUGAAAUAUUUUCCCGCCUUUUUUUUCCCGCCCUUUUCCCCCCUCAUAAAAAAUUUUCCUGUCUCUUUUUUCCCACCUUUUUCCCGCCUUUUUCCUCCCUCUCAGGAAUUUUUUCCCGCCUUUUUUUCCCCACUCACAAAAAUAUUCCCGCCUUUUUUUUUCCCACCUUUUUUUCCUCCCUCACAAAAGGUUUUCCCGCCCUUUUUUUCCCGCCUUUUUUCCCUACUCAGGAUUUUUUCCCGCCAUUUUUUCCCCCCUCAUAAAAAAUUUUUCUGCCUCUUUUUCCUGCCUUUUUUCUCUCCUCAUUAAAUAUUUUCCCGCCUUUUUUUCCCGCCCUUUUUCCCACUCUUUUCCCUCCUGCACAAAAGUUUUCCCGCCCUUUUUUUCCCGUCUUUUUUUCCCUCACAGGAAUGGUUUUCCCGCCCUUUUUCCCCCCCACCUUUUUUUCCUGCCUUUUUCCUCCCCUCACAAAAGGUUUUCCCGCCUUUUUUUCCCACCAUUUUUCUCCCUCAGGAAUGAUUUUCCCGCCUUUUUCCCCUCCCCCAUAAAAAAAAAUUCCCCGCCUUUUUUUCCCGCCCUUUUUCUCCUCUCUCACAAAAAGUUUUCCCGCCUUUUUUUUCCACCUUUUUCCCGCCUUUUUUCUCCCCUCAUGAAAUAUUUUCCCGCCUUUUUUUCUCCUUCACAAAAAAUUUUCCCGCCUUUUUUUUCCCGCCUUUUUUUUCCCGCCUUUUUUCUCCCCUCAGAAAAAAGGUUUCCCGCCUUUUUUUCCCGCCUUUUUCCCCCCCUCAGGAAUUCUUUUCCUACCCUUUUUUUCCUGCCCUUUUUUUCCCGCCUGGGAAGCUCCAAAAAUUGGGAAUUUUGGCAUUUUUGGGGAUUCA